UACGUAGGUGGCAAGCGUUGUCCGGAUUUACUGGGCGUAAAGGGCGUGCAGGCGGUUUGUUAAGUGCAGGGUGAAAGCUCCCGGCUCAACUGGGAGAGGUCCUUGCAUACUGGCAAACUCGAGGGAGGCAGAGGAAAGUGGAAUUCCCGGUGUAGUGGUGAUAUGCGUAGAUAUCGGGAGGAACACCAGUGGCGAAGGCGGCUCACUGGCCCGGUACUGACGCUGAGGUGCGAAAGCGUGGGGAGCAAACAGG
RNAcentral lists this ribosomal RNA (253 nucleotides) under uncultured bacterium. Its description in RNAcentral is "partial 16S ribosomal RNA". It matches the Rfam family "Bacterial small subunit ribosomal RNA", at positions 524 to 776 of the family's 1533-position model. The record is from RNAcentral.